CAUAUCAUAAGCGGAGGAAAGAACUAACUAGGAUUCCCUUAGUAACGGCGAGUGAACCGGGAUGAGCUCAAAUUUAAAAUCUGGCGUCUUUCAGGCGUCCGAGUUGUAAUCUAUAGAGGCGUUUUCCGCGCCGGACCGCGUCCAAGUCUCUUGGAAUAGAGUAUCAAAGAGGGUGACAAUCCCGUACUUGACGCGACAACCGGUGCUCUGUGAUACGUUCUCAAUGAGUCGAGUUGUUUGGGAAUGCAGCUCUAAAUGGGUGGUAAAUUCCAUCUAAGGCUAAAUAUUGGCGAGAGACCGAUAGCGAACAAGUACCGUGAGGGAAAGAUGAAAAGCACUUUGGAAAGAGAGUUAAACAGCACGUGAAAUUGUUAAAAGGGAAACGAUUGAAGUCAGUCGUGUGAAAGGUAUUCAGCCGUCUCUGGCGGUGUAUUUGCCUUUCACGGGUCAACAUCAGUUUGAUCCGGUAGAAAAAGGCGGGAGGAAGGUGGCACCCUCGGGUGUGUUAUAGCCUCCUGUCAUAUGUGCCGGACCAGACUGAGGAACGCAGCUUGCCGCAAGGCCGGGGUUCGCCCACGUACAAGCUUAGGAUGUUGACAUAAUGGCUUUAAACGACCCGUC
This 621-nucleotide ribosomal RNA is filed under the name Vishniacozyma victoriae. RNAcentral describes it as "eukaryotic LSU rRNA". It matches the Rfam family "Eukaryotic large subunit ribosomal RNA", at positions 39 to 653 of the family's 3401-position model. Lineage: Eukaryota; Fungi; Basidiomycota; Tremellomycetes; Tremellales; Bulleribasidiaceae. The record is from RNAcentral.